Molecule: long non-coding RNA, 2152 nt
Filed under: Homo sapiens (human)
Lineage: Eukaryota; Metazoa; Chordata; Mammalia; Primates; Hominidae
Description: non-protein coding lnc-CYS1-1:6
Source: RNAcentral
CAGAGACUCAGUCUCAAAAAAACAAACAAAAAACUGAACUCGGAUUCCAGCCAAAUCUGGAUUUCUCACCUCCGUGAAGGGUACAACUGGAGACCCUGUUCCUUGAUCUAGAAACCUGAGCGUCACCUUUACCUCCUCCCUUUCGCACAGUUGCUGUCUUCCGCCAAUUACAUGCCCUUCUUCCUUCUCAGUUCCUCUCAAACUCUUAUGUCACCCACGCCAGCCCUUGUCCUGGCCACCACCUGCUCACCUGAAUUGUUGCCACUGCCUCCCAACAGGUCUCCCUCCCUCCAGCCAGACGCCCUACAAUCUGCCCUCACCUCACUGCCAGAAUGAUCUUCUGGAAGCAGAGGUGGAGCUGAACCUGUAUUCAAGCCGUCAGUUGGAAUCCAAACAGUUAUAGGACUGACUUCAGGCUCCAUGGCCAGGAACCCAUGAGUCUUUGUAGCCAGGCUCCAGCCAGCACUUCCUGCAUCAUUUCUGACCAGUUUCCCAAAUUGCUUUCCCUGCUGCCUUCCUGCCCCCACUGACCCAAUACAGAACCCUGUACUCUCAAGGUCACGCCACUCUCUUCUGUUUCUAGACAGCAUUCCUUCUGCGUGGAACAUGCCAACCCUCGUCUGCUUUGACUUUGCAAAACUGCAUGAGACCGCCGGGCGCGGUGGCUCACGCCUGUAAUCCCAGCACUUCAAGAGGCCGAGGCAGACAGAUCACCUGAGGUCAGGAGUUUGAGGCCAGCCUGGCCAGCAUGGUGAAACCCCGUCUCUACUAAAAAUACAAAAAAUCAGCCAGUAAUCCUAGCUACUCGGGAGGCUGAGGCAGGAGAAUCGCUUGAACCCAGGAAGCAGAGGUUGCAGUGAGCCGAGGUCAUGCCAUUGCACUCCAGCCUGGGCUACAAGAGUGAAACUCCGUCUCAAAAAAGAAAAAAAAAAAGAAAAAAAGACUGCAUAUGACUCCCCAGUGAAGCCCUCCCUGAUUGGCCUCUGCAGAAGGCAGCAUGCCCGGGCUUUGGAGUCAGACCUGCAUACAAAUCCUUGUUUUGCCGGUGUGACCUUGCCAAGUCUUCUUUCCUGCAGGACAGAAGGCGGCAGCAGCUCUCCCUGAACUGGCACUCUGGCUUCUCUUGCCCCAGGGUCUGUUUCUGCUCCUUGGACAGCAGGCGCAUGUGGGAACUGUGCCCUCUUCAGCCAUGAGCCCCUGUUCUGCGCACAUCUAGCCCAUCUUCCAGAUGGACAGACAGUCUGUGGUCGUCGCCAAACCCCUGAAUCUGGCCCUGCCCGCAGUCAGAGGGAUGGCAAUUUGUAAGCUACAGACUAUUGCGAAUCAUUCACUUGGAGACUGAACUAAGACUACUGGCACCAGGCUCCGUAGACCCUCGGGAAGAGCAUGGUCUGGCAGGCAGACUGGAUGUGGCCACAGAUAACAUCCCCUAAGGGGAGAGCGUGAGCCUGCAGGCCAGAAUGCCACCACUUUCUCCUGUGUCGUUCCAGAGAGAGCCUGUGGCUAUGCACGCUUGCUGCUACAGAGGGUAGUGCUGUAUACCUCCUGGGCUCACUUACUGACUUUUCAGUCUAAGGGCUUAUUGCAAUUGGUACAUAACGAUCAUACUUUGUAAUGGUUAAGUAAUAUUCCAUCAUAUGGAUGUGUUGUUUAUUUAACAUUCUGGUUGAAUAACCAAGACUUUUAGGUUUCCAGUUUUCCAGGAACAUCAUGCCCCUCCAUCAUUUGCCCACCUGGAAGGAUAACUACAGGAUAAGCAGCUCUUAGAACUGGAAUUGCUGAGUUAACUGCUCUGUGCAUUUCCUUGCUUUUUCUUGCUUUUCUUUUCUUUCUUUUAUUAUUUUUUUGGGUAAAUUUUUAUUGAACUAUAGCAUAGCGUAGAUACAGGAAAGUGUAAAAACUUAAAUGUACAAUUCAAUGAAUUUUCGCUAGGCAAACACUGUGUCACCAGCACCCAGAUUUAGAAACAGAAUAUUACCAGAAUCCCAAAAGCCCCAUGAGCUGCCGUCCAGUCACUACUUACCGUUUCCCUGAUCCCCUGCAUAGGAUAAUCCUUAUCAUGGCUUCUGACACUUUCGGUUGGUUUUGGAUGUACUGACACUUUUUGUGUGUGUGUGACACUUUUAUAAUACAAAGAAAAUCAUACAGUAUG